Long non-coding RNA from Oreochromis aureus, 1354 nucleotides. The record is from Ensembl. NCBI's taxonomy places the organism in Eukaryota, Metazoa, Chordata, Actinopteri, Cichliformes, Cichlidae.
AAAAUUUCACCAUGUCUGAGGUGUAAGUGAGUGGUGAAGUCGUGUCAAAGUUUGUAUCUAUACUUUCCAAACUCUGCAUUGGGUUAGGGUUUUCCUCAUCGCCAUGGUCAUCUACAGAGCUUUCAUUCAGGAUGCUGUCCUUUGCUCCUGAAUCAUCUGUUUUCUCGGGGAAGUCUGCACCCACGGACUCGAGACAGAGCUCAGUCUGUGUGCAGGCCAGAUCUGCAUUUUCCAUGGUAUCCCAAGUUAAUCUCAUAUAUGUGUUACAAAAUUUCAGCAUGUCUGAGGUGUAGGUGAGUGGGGAAGUCAUGCUGAAGUUUGUUUCUGUACUUUUCAAACUCUCAAUUGGGGAAGAGGAAUUCAGUUGAUGGGUGGUUGGAGUUAAGGCAGACAUGUGUGCUCUUUGCAAACUGAAUGUGCUUAAAUUACAGUCGCUGUUCUGAUGCAUUAAUGCUCUCUGAACUAAACUGUACUAGAGUGCUUAAGGUCUAUUUAUGGACUUUAGCCACGCCCACUUUAAAGACCAUAAAAGGACUGCUCAUAGAUCAAAGCCUGACGUCAGACGGUGUUCCUUGUUCGAAGAAAACUCUGGUUAAAGCCAUUAAGGUUUGGAUCGGGAAAUGCCAAGCUAGAAUCGGAGUUUGAUCCGCUGAGCGAGAAACAAGAUGGCGAGCCACCCACGGACCCAUUGAACUGUACCGAGCAGGAAAAGGGAAAACCGCCCCUGCUGGAUGUUGAGUUCUUUCGCUAAAAGAAACUGGUAGGACUAAUCCAUACACCUCUGCAAAAGAACAGUGGACUUUCAAAGCACUGGACAAUCAUUCAGAGCAAUUCCAGGAUUUAUAGUUAAAGGACACAGAGACAAUUUUCUUUUGUUUAUUUGUUUGUUUAAGGGAUUUGUUCAGCCUUUUGCUGAAUUGUUUUCAGUUUUUACAUGUUUUUUUGUAAUUUAUUUUGGUCAACCUUACAUUUUAAUGCUGUAAUGGUGUUAAUGGAAAUGUAAAUAAUUUUGUUGGGUUAAAACAAAAUAAGAACUGGUUGAAAUUUAAAGGUGAACCUAGACCAAGAUUAAAUUAAAUCUUGGGCCUAAAGAACUAAAACUUGAUUUAAAAUAACACAGUGUUAAUUCAAAUAGAUUAAAGGAUAAACUUGAACUUAGGAUUUGGAAUAAAUAAAAUAACAUCCUUUUAAAGCCAAAUAAAAGGUUUUGAGAUAAAUAGGAUAAAUUAACAGAAAUUACUGAACUAAAAAAGGGGAAGAAAAUAUCUUGUUUUCCUUAAAUGUGUGAUGUUGAAUGUUUUAUGUAAUUGUGUGUUAACUGUCUAUUCUGUCUUCACAAAAUAAUAAGCCGGCA